This 415-nucleotide ribosomal RNA is filed under the name Lactiplantibacillus pentosus. Its description in RNAcentral is "bacterial SSU rRNA". It matches the Rfam family "Bacterial small subunit ribosomal RNA", at positions 47 to 438 of the family's 1533-position model. Lineage: Bacteria; Bacillati; Bacillota; Bacilli; Lactobacillales; Lactobacillaceae. The record is from RNAcentral.
AACUAUACAUGCAAGUCGAACGAACUUGGUAUUGAUUGGUGCUUGCAUCAUGAUUUACAUUUGAGUGAGUGGCGAACUGGUGAGUAACACGUGGGAACCUGCCCAGAAGCGGGGGAUAACCCUGGAAACAGAUGCUAAUACCGCAUAACAACUUGGACCGCAUGGUCCGAGUUUGAAAGAUGGCUUCGGCUAUCACUUUUGGAUGGUCCCGCGGCGUAUUAGCUAGAUGGUGGGGUAACGGCUCACCAUGGCAAUGAUACGUAGCCGACCUGAGAGGGUAAUCGGCCACAUUGGGACUGAGACACGGCCCAAACUCCUACGGGAGGCAGCAGUAGGGAAUCUUCCACAAUGGACGAAAGUCUGAUGGAGCAACGCCGCGUGAGUGAAGAGGGUUUCGGCUCACAAAACUCUGUUG